RNAcentral lists this ribosomal RNA (254 nucleotides) under uncultured bacterium. RNAcentral describes it as "partial 16S ribosomal RNA". It matches the Rfam family "Bacterial small subunit ribosomal RNA", at positions 524 to 776 of the family's 1533-position model. The record is from RNAcentral.
UACGUAGGGGGCGAGCGUUGUCCGGAUUUAUUGGGCGUAAAGAGCUCGUAGGCGGUUCGAUAAGUCGGACGUGAAAUCUCCACGCUCAACGUGGAGGGGCCGUUCGAUACUGUCGUGACUCGAGUCCGGUAGGGGAGUGUGGAAUUCCCGGUGUAGCGGUGAAAUGCGCAGAUAUCAGGAGGAACACCGGUGGCGAAGGCGGGUCUCUGGGCCGUUACUGACGCUGAGGAGCGAAAGCGUGGGGAGCGAACAGG